Long non-coding RNA from Rhagoletis zephyria (snowberry fruit fly), 911 nucleotides. RefSeq lists it as uncharacterized. The record is from RefSeq and is a predicted model, not a curated record. Lineage: Eukaryota; Metazoa; Arthropoda; Insecta; Diptera; Tephritidae.
UCAAUUGUGAAAUAAUCGGUUAAUCGAAUAAUUGCUAUUCGACUAUCAACCGACAAAAAAGUUGUUAAUCGACUAGUCGACUAACCGAAUAGCCGGAUAGUCGAUUUUUAACAAGAGCUCUCCUAUGGUUCCCAAUUUAUGGCUGAUUAAAAAUUCCACGCCUAUGCUCCACGUUCCCUUUUACAAACUCAUGUAUACAAACCUUACUAUAAGCACCUACCAUGGAUAUGUAUUCAUACUGAAGUUCAUAUUCUUGUGAAUUAUAGUUCCGAAGUUGUAGCUGAUAAAAAAUGUCUCGCCUGUGGGUUGUGCCCCUUUCAAAAAACUCAUUUAUACAUUCAAUUUCACCUGACAUAUGGUUCCGAAGUUAUAGCUGAUACAAUUUUCCACGCCUAUGGUAUGUGCCACGCAACCUUUUGCAAACUCAUAUAUAUAUGCCUUACUAUAAGCGCCGACCAUAGAUAUGCCUGCUUACCAAACUUCAAGUUCAUAGAACUUAUGGUUCGGAAGUUAUAGCUGGUAAAAUAUUCCUCGCCUAUGCAAUGUGCCACGCCCCCUUUUAUAAAAUCAUUUAUAUAUAGCCUACUAUAAACAACUAUCAUAGAUAUAUAUUUAUUUAUUUAUUUAAGUGGGAGCAGUAGUUGUACAUGUAAGUCAAUAAUCUUUUAACAGUACAUGAACUUAAUUAACUAACAUUAUAUUCAGUACUGGCCAAUACAAUAGCACCCCCAUCUCAAAGUGAUAUUGUUUGCCACUCAUGUUUAUUUAUUUAUUUUUAAUAAUUUUCAAUUAAAAUACAGUUCAUUCUCUCUCAAAACUCAUAUAAACCCAUGUGUUAAACUUCUUAAAAGACCGCAAAAAAGUGCAACAAAUUUACACCCAAAUUUCAAACUUUUUUCUCAGAAGCGGUA